UGGGGAAUAUUGCACAAUGGGGGAAACCCUGAUGCAGCGACGCCGCGUGAGCGAAGAAGGCUUUCGAGUCGUAAAGCUCUGUCCUAUGAGAAGAUAAUGACGGUAUCAUAGGAGGAAGCCCUGGCUAAAUACGUGCCAGCAGCCGCGGUAAUACGUAUGGGGCGAGCGUUGUCCGGAAUUAUUGGGCGUAAAGGGUACGUAGGUGGUUUUUUAAGUCAGGUGUCAAAGCGUGGAGCUUAACUCCAUUAAGCACUUGAAACUGAAAGACUUGAGUGAAGGAGAGGAAAGUGGAAUUCCUAGUGUGGCGGUGAAAUGCGUAGAUAUUAGGAGGAAUACCGGUGGCGAAGGCGACUUUCUGGACUUUUACUGACGCUCAGGUACGAAAACGUGGGGAGCAAACAGG
RNAcentral lists this ribosomal RNA (403 nucleotides) under Verrucomicrobiota bacterium. RNAcentral's name for it is "Verrucomicrobia bacterium partial 16S ribosomal RNA". It matches the Rfam family "Bacterial small subunit ribosomal RNA", at positions 355 to 776 of the family's 1533-position model. Lineage: Bacteria; Pseudomonadati; Verrucomicrobiota. The record is from RNAcentral.